UAAAAUUCAAGUCUGAGGGUUCCUUUUAACUAAAGAACUUUCUGACUUGAAAUUUGA
This 57-nucleotide microRNA precursor is filed under the name Euprymna scolopes. Its description in RNAcentral is "Esc-Mir-12552_pre stem-loop". The record is from RNAcentral. Lineage: Eukaryota; Metazoa; Mollusca; Cephalopoda; Sepiida; Sepiolidae.